RNAcentral lists this ribosomal RNA (236 nucleotides) under uncultured bacterium. Its description in RNAcentral is "partial 16S ribosomal RNA". It matches the Rfam family "Bacterial small subunit ribosomal RNA", at positions 99 to 334 of the family's 1533-position model. The record is from RNAcentral.
CGAACGGGUGAGGAACGCGUGGACAACCUACCCCGGCGUGGGGGAUACCCGCCAGAAAUGGUGGCUAAUACCGCGUACGGUUGCCGGACGGAGGGUUCGGCAAAGAAAGCAGUGAUGCGCGCUGGGAGGGGUCUGCGGCCGAUUAGCUAGUUGGCGGGGUAGUGGCCCACCAAGGCGAUGAUCGGUAGCUGGUCUGAGAGGAUGGUCAGCCACACGGGGACUGAGACACGGCCCCG